Pogoniulus pusillus (Red-fronted tinkerbird) is the source of this 950-nucleotide long non-coding RNA. RefSeq lists it as uncharacterized. The record is from RefSeq and is a predicted model, not a curated record. The transcript has 3 exons. NCBI's taxonomy places the organism in Eukaryota, Metazoa, Chordata, Aves, Piciformes, Lybiidae.
UGCAGCUACCCUACCACCACCCUGAUUUCAUUAGCUUGAGAAGAAGAAGAGUUUUCUGGUUUGAGCAAAGUUGCCUUUUUGCCGUCAGGACAAGGAGUCCCAUAAGAUUUGAACAAAUACUGGAGCAGUGCCAGAAAAUAUGCAAAGAAGAAUAUAAAUGUCAUUUCACAAAUACUGCUGUUCAUGUGGAAUGGAAGGUAUUUAUUUUCCUGAUACUCUGUCACUUCAAUCAGUAUGAUUGUCAGCUGCUAGUUAAAAAAAAUAGACUUGAACAUAAUUACAUUUUUUGUCCAUCUACAAUCUACUGGGCUUGUUACUAAUUCAUUUUACUGCUCUCCAAUCUGCUUUUAUUCAUUACAGGAAAUUUAAAUACCCUAUUUAAUCUGAGUAUAAGGUUCAUUUCCUUGGUAUUCGUAAAAGUAGUCAUCUCAAAGAAGUCAUUAGGUUUAAUGUUAACCUUUAAUGUGAUCUGUGAGUAUGAUAAACUAUUUAAUGAGUUGUCUGAAGUUUGUGUAUGACAUUUCUAUGUCACCAAACUUGUCAUUGGCUAGCAGUGUAGCACUGCAUUACAGUUGCGGGGCAACAGCUCAGUUUUCUGAGAUUUUGAAGGCAUUGUGAUAUGGUUUUGAUCUUGCAAUACUGAUUUUGUCUUUCAACUAAUAAAAAAAAUCCACGACUUCAGUUUGGAGCUUCAGUCCCACUGUUCAUUAAUACUGCAAAACAUCUUUUCUGGCUCUGUAAUACUCUGUUUUCAUCUUGAAGAGCUGAAGGCACUAGACAUUUACUGUGCAGUACCAUAUCCUUCCUGGGACCCAGUGGGCACCCCAACUACAGCAAAAGCAUCUGCAACUCAGUAUACAACCUGUUUAAUAUGUGUUUAUUGAUUUAAAUUACAGAUUAUACACGAGCAUGAAAUGCUGAAAUAAAUUAAAUCAGUAUGCAUCUGUCAA